Non-coding RNA from Oreochromis niloticus (Nile tilapia), 377 nucleotides. The record is from the annotation of a RefSeq genome assembly. NCBI's taxonomy places the organism in Eukaryota, Metazoa, Chordata, Actinopteri, Cichliformes, Cichlidae.
CUUUGUAGUACUGUAUCAUGGAUUACAAGACAAGACUGCUGCUUUCAGUUAUUUGGUGGGCAGGUGUUAAUGGUCAGACUCUGAGAGAAUCUGAACCAGUGGUUAAAAGGCCUGGACAAUCUCACAGACUGACCUGCACAGCCUCUGGAUUCACAUUCAGCGACUACAGGAUGGUUUGGGUCAGACAGGCUGCUGGAAAAGGACCGGAGUGGAUUGCUUAUAUCAGCAUUUCAGAUUAUAGUUAUGCUACACAUUAUUCCCAGUCAGUCCAGGGUAGAUUCACCAUCUCCAGAGAUGAUUCCAGCAGUAAACUCUAUCUGCAGAUGAACAGUUUGAAGACUGAGGACACAGCAGUUUAUUACUGUGCCCGAUGAAGC